ACCAGAGCCUGGGAGCUGCCCCCGCCCCCGAGCCGCGAGCCCCGCGCCGGGCCGGGGAGUCCCCGGCGCCACACGCCCCCACCACCCCCAUCUUAGCGCCCCCCACCCUCUAUGGAGACAUUUCAACCAGGGAGAAGGGAAGUCCUGCCCUUGCCCCUCGCCCCCGCCCUGCUCCUCCAACAGGGGAGACUUCUGUCCAAACCUUGGAAAGAAACGAGAUGCCAGGCCUAGCGCCUUCGGGGAUCCUCUCUGGACAAGGCCACAGGGUGAAAACACCAGGUGAGGACUUCACUACCCUUGGGGCCACCAUGGGACCCUGGAGACCUUUGCCUCCCUCCAGGCGCCCCCGACCCCUUAAACUUUUUCUCCCUGAGCUCAGCCUGGAGCAGAGUUAGGAUCCUGGGAAAGCCCCUUACCAGUUGCUCCAACCCCCUCCUUAAACUGGAAGGGAAACUGAGGCCCAGAGAAAAGUAGUGAUUGACUAGGGCCACAUGGCACGUUCCUAGAGGAAGAGCAUGGGCCAGAACCCACAGAUGCUGACCUCCUGGCCAGAGGUCAAGGCAUUCCUUAUGGUUGAGCAUAGCCAGCCCCGUGUGCCAGUAUCCAGCCCCUGCCCUGCACCAAGCAGAGGGGCUGGACACCUCUGUCAUGGCACCAGCUGCCUCUCCUUCCCCAGCACAGUCUGGACCUGGGCGGACUUUUUGGAAAAGCUUCUGGAUGCCACGGACUCCACGACCAACCAACUAGGUUGCUGCUGCUUGCAAACAUCGCCUCCAUUGAAGGAUUCCUGCAGCCACCAGCUCUGGAACUUUCUGGAACCAAACAUUUCCCCAGACUGCCUACAAGGACCAAUUGGCCUCUGGAUCACUUCCUGGAGGCGUUUGACCGGGACCUGGGAGGGCAGCUGAGAAGUGCCUGACCAUUCUCAAGGAGCUGCGUGGAUUCCAGACAUCUCUGGGCUGGUCUCUGGACCGGGAUGGGGGACCCAGAGGUGGAGCCGAACACACAAGCAGCACUUGAGGGCUCCGAGGGUGGCAAGGAGAGAAGUUCCUGCUCUGGUACAGCCCUGGGACCUUGAAAGGUGCUUCAACAGAGCGUCCACUCCCAGCGCCUAGCUCUGGGACCUUGAAUGGUGCUUUAACAGAGCGUCUGCUCCCAGCGCCAAGCCCUCAGUGCAGAGGGGGAGACUCAGGCGGCCCUCAGACACAAUUCGCCAAGGUCGCACAGCAAGUCAGGGUGCCGCUAAGACUAGGACCUACAGCUCUGCCUCCUGGCCCAGGCUCCUCAGCACCUGGGCCCCAGAGGACAGCCUGUGGGAGGCCCACAUGGCCACUGCACCAUGAACCAAGGACCUGGUCCGGGUCCACCUCCACCAAGUGCUGGCCGUGUGUCACUGGGGUCACUCCACUCUCUGCAUUAGGUCUCAGUCAUCCAAGACCAUCUUUCAAGGGCCGUCACUCCAAUUAUGAGUCUGGGAUUUUCUGAAAUUGAGCAUUUUGGCCAGGCUGUGGGGUCCCUCUAUGACUGCCUGUAAGACACUGCCAAGGGGACUUUCUUCCUUUCACCAGACUGAAGCUAAGAAGUGCUGGAGACAGCAGUUGCUUUAGCCACAGGCUGUGUAGACCACCUGAGGAUGACCUGGGGGUCUGUUUUGUGCACCUUGGAACCCAUCGGAUCCCUCCAAUGGUGAGUCCCCUGGUGUACCCAGCACCAAGCUGUGAGAACGACCCCCAACGGGUUGGGUGGAAGAAGCAAAACUACAGGCUCAGUCCCAGUACUUACUCCCCUGUGUCCACACAGGCCAGGUCUCCAGGGUCCCUGCCCAUCCAGGGCUGAGAACGUGGUCCUCUGGGAGCCUUCAGGCCCACUCGGACCCCAGCAUUGGGCAAUGGGCUCAUCCCUACCUGAAACUGGGGCUUGGGGUUGCAGCAUUCAACUUCCAAAGCCCAAGAGGCACUGGGACAGGUGGCCCAGCAGGCUCAGAGAUGCUCAAGUGCCAGAGGUUGGGAGGGCCCUUUGAGGCUAAGGGGUCUGACCCACUGCCAUUUUGCAAAUACAAAAACUGAGGCCCAGGGAGGGAGAGAGGUUUGCAGAACACGCCCAGCAGGCUAGUGGUAGAGCUGGGAACAGAAUCUGCAUCUUCUGCUGCUCCUAUUCAGAACUAUUCCCCUGCACCAAACAUAAUCCGCUGACAUCUAGACUGAGCUCAGCUCGUCUUCUUCCUGGACCUUGGACUCCUUGGCAGAAGGCUCUCCCAACUCACAGCCUGUCAGGGAUGGCAAUUCAGGGGCUUUCCCUUCAACCUGAUGGUCCUUUCCACCAAAGCUUCCUGGUGCUCCUCCCCUCCCACCAGUGCUCAGCCCUUCUUGGCUUCAGAAGCUGCUCCAUCAGCAGCCGUAAGGGUCACUCUCCCCUGCUCACCAUGGUUCACCCAACUCCCUGUGGUUCCCGCGUUCCCCAGCAUGGGGAGCACCAUUCUCCCUGCUCGUGGGGGUCUCCUCUUUGUUGCCCCUCGGCCCAGUCCCUGACCUUCUCUGACCACUGGAGCCUUAAAUCCCAUCAGUCUUUCCUGGGACCCCCGGACUGUUCCCUGUAGAUUUCCUCUCUGUUGGCCCAGGGCCUGUGAGAGUAAUGAUGGCUGGCAUGUCAUAGGGCUGCUGUGAGGUUUUCAUGAAUUAAUACACUCAUCAGGUACACAAGGUGUGGGUAGGUGCCUCAUCUGUAAACUCCUAUGUUACGAGCUGUGCCCUGAUAGUAACAAGGAGAGACUUGAAGCUGGAGCCUCUGGAGGCUGAGGUAUCUGUUGGUGGAAGGGGAAGAAAGGAGGUGCCAGCCUGGAGGAGUUUUUAGUAAUGGGAGAUAAUGGGAGCCACAAGGGUCUUAAGCUGGGAAGAACAUGGUCAGGUUGGCUUCCGGAAGAAUGGCAAGGGGAGCUGGGCUGCUGAGCACCAGAAGGGUGUGUUGGGCCCGGCCCGGGACCUCCGUCUCUGGCUUUGGUGAGCAGUGGAGGGGGCAGCUGCUGCCCGGGGAAGGAGCCUGCUGGGGCCCGAGCCAGAGCCCUGAGGGGCACUUUAUGUGCAUCCCUCCACUUCUCCAGGCUGCAGCCUUAGCCUGGUUUACUCCAUCUGGUGCUCUCAGACCUGGCCUGGAUCAAAGCUGCCGGUGGGUACCCAGGCUAUUUCUACACUUGCAGUGCCAGGACAUGUGCUGCCUCCUGAACCAGCCCCUGCCGUCUCUGCAUAGCCUUGUUCAAAAUUAUAUUUUUCAUAAAGUUAAGAUAAUGACCAACAUUCUGCCAUGUGAGCAUUUCUUGUGCUCCUUUUAUGCAUCAGGCAUUUUCUGAGUGUUUUAACUAAUUAACUCCUUUAAUGCUAACAUCAGUCCCUUGAUAGGGGUGCCAUCAUUCUCCCCACUUCUGUAUUUAACAAAUCGGUAAACUGAGGCACAAAAGGUUAAGUCACUUAACUGACCGAUGUCACAAAGGCAGUCUGUGGAGGAGGCAGGACUCAGCCCAGAUUCUCCUCCCCCGCCACCCUCUCCUGCCUCAGGUACAUCCCCUCCCACUGGCCUUUCCACGUGGACCGUGUCUCUCCCACUGCCUCUUGAUGGUCCUUCAAACAUCUGCAAAUGCCACACCACCUCCUCAAGCCUCCUCUUCUCUGAGGAACAUCUCUCCAUUCCUUCCAUCUUUUAAAAAUUUCUUACAAAUGUUUAUGAAGCACUUUACGCUGGAGUUGACAGUGGGCAAAGCAGUCACAGUCCCUGCCAUGGUGACCACAGUCUAGUGGACAAGAGACAAUAAAUUCCUCACCAAAAUAAAGGAUUAAAUCGCUAUUUCACCAAGUGCCAACAGAGGCCUGGGGUGCCUGCAAACCUGUAACUGAGGAUUUGGCCUCAGCGGUAAUGUCAGGGAAGGCUUUCCAGAGGAGACGAUAUUUAGGCUGAACUAACGGGAAAUUAGGAAGAACUCGGCAGAGGAGAGAGGCAGCAGCACCCCAGGAGAGAGAACAGCAUGUGCAAAAGCACUGUGGCGGCCGGGAGGGUGGCAGGCCAGGGACUGGAAGAAGGCUUAUGCAGCUGGAAGAGAGGCAAGGGGGUGCAUGAGGCCAGACAGGCUGGAGGGCUUACCAGAGGCAGGCCUGGGGGAUGGCCUGGGCCCUGCCUCACAGCCCUGGGUGCAGUUGGCUCCUCCUCACUGGCUGCUCUGCUCAAGGCUAGGCUUGGACCCAUAGCAUAAGUCCUAGAGCCAAACCUCCUGGCCCUGACAGAGGCUGCCCUCUCUCCACUUUUGCUGCAUGUCCCUGUUAACACAACCUCAGCUACAGUGGCUUCUUUUGUGGCUACCUGGCACUGUGUUGAAUCUCAUUUAUGAGGCCACACUCCUCUGUCCACCCAGCCACCCACCCAGCACAGCCUGGCCCAGUCAACACUGACUUGCCACCAGCAGCUCAACUCAAAUGCACCUGCUUGGGGAGGCCGGUGCCAACUCCUCAGGCAGGGUCACCCCUCCUUUUGCUCUCCCCAAACUCCCAGCAUGCCUCCUUGACAGCAGUAUCCCACUGAAGUGGCUGGAUGGACCCCUUGCUCUCUCACCAGCCUGCAGGUUCCAUGAGGCCAAGACCAGCUGUCUGUGGGCACCAUCACAUCACUGCAGAGGCUGGCACAAACUCUGCCCUCAGCUGUUUGUUGCAUGAAUGACUUACAUGCCUGAGCCCCUGCCCUGUGCCAGGCCUUGUGCUGGAUGCUGGGAACAUGAAGACCAGUUGUAGAUGCUGGUAGGGGAGACAGCCAAGUAAACACACAGGGACAAUGCAGGGUGCAGAGUGCGGUGACGAGGAAGCACAGGGGCUGGGGGGCACUGAGGGGGUCCCCGGACCUCACUGGAGGACCAGAAGGGCCAGAAUUUGCCAGCUGGGAGUGGUGGUGGAGAGGACUCUGAAAAUGAAUGUGAGGAAAAUCCGCCUCCUCCAGCCUCCCCAGGGCAGGUCAAGAGUAUUGGUCGCUGCUCUGCAUUUGAAAAGUGGCUUUAGUUGAUUAGGUUUCUUUCCCCUCUUGGAAUGUGGCUGCUCUGACUUGCUCCUCACUGCAUUCCUUGCAUCCUCUUCUCUCAGCCCUGCCUUCAGGACAUUGCCCACAAAAGUUUCAUCUUUUCCCACCUGGGCUCUACUCUCCCUCUCCCACCCCCUCCAUGGUUCUAUGUCCCUCACCUUCCUGGCUUUCAGCUCAUUCACCCAGCUCUGGCCGUCUCAAUGCGUGGGUGCCAGCCUGCACCCUCUUUACAUGAGCUUUGUUGAUUUCAUAACCAUAAAUAGAUAAAAUGUUCUGAAUGCUUUCAUGUGCAAGUAGAAUUGAGGGAGUGAUAGCAUAAUGAAAAGGCCUCAGGAAAAGGAAAACAGCUUGCUAAGAUGCAGCGGAAGACAACACGGUCACUGCACAAGCCAGCUCUGCGUGGGUUUCCUAUUCUCACUGCACUGACCGCGGAGCCAUGGACGCAGGAUGGGGAGGUGCUUAGGAAUCUGUUAGAAAACCUUUCCCUGGUUUCAAAUCCACCAAUUCAAAAGAACAACCUAGAAAAAAAACAGUAGAAGUCAGGAAAACCUGGGUUCAAUUGUGGAUUUAUCUCAUUCUAGCUGUGUGAUCCUAGGCAAGUUAAUCAACCUCUCUGAGAAGGCAUAGAGAGAUUCUUCCCCCCUGGGUCAGACUGGAGGCUUCGGGAGGCCCAAUAUCCCACAAUACCUUCCUUUUCCUCCCAUAUGUAAAUUUUGUCUUCCUGACAAUUCGUUAAUCACCAGCCCUGAGACCCCCCUGCCCAAAAUGCAGUCCUGAAGACUAGGGUCGGAAUAGGGAUGGAAUGGGGUACCCUGCCUCCUCAUUGCCUGUUCCAACUCCUGGUGCAGGAAGUGGAGCAUCAUCCUGCAUGGGGAGGGUACAUCUCCACAGCCACAAAAGGGGCUGGAAACCAAUAAGGAGCCUGACCCAUUGGGCUUCCCACCUCUCCUCCUUUAAGUUGUCCAGGAGCACUACUUCUCCAUGGCCUUUGGAACAGUAAAGGGGGCUGAAAUGAUAGCUUGGUAUACCCUGGGUUAAGAGAGCUUUCUGGGUGAGAAAGAGAAACAAGUGGAGAUAUUCCUGGUGUGAACUCAUCCUCUGGUCUAAGGAUGGCACGCUUUUUCUCUAAAGGAUCAAUUAGUAAAAAGUGUCAAAAAGUUCUUUAGGCUUUUUGAACCAUAUGGUCUCUGUUGCAACUACUCAGCUCUUCCAUUGUAAUGUGAAAACAGCCAUAGACAAUGAGUAAAUGAAUGAAUGUGACUGUGUUCCAAUAAAACUUUAUUUACAAAAGGAGGCAGCAGGCUAGAUGUGGCUAGAUUUGCAGUCCAUAGUUUGUAAACCCUAGCCCUAUCACGUGGUGCAAAAGAGAAAGCUUGGGUUGGGAGCAGGAACUAGGGGUGAGGCUCAGCAUUGCCAGACUUGCUGUGUGACUUUGAUUAAGUCAUUAUCUAUCUCUGAGCCUUUGUUUCACCAUCUAUCAAAUGAGCAUCAUAAUAUCAGUCAAGGCUGGGUGUCGUGGCUCACACGUGUAAUUCCAGCACUUUGGGAGGCCAAGGUGGGAGGAUUGCUUGAGGUCAGGAGUUCAAGACCAGCCUGGGCAGAAAAAAUUUUUUUAAAUUAUCUGGGUGUAGUAGUUUAUGCCUGUAGUCCCAGCUACUCGAGAUCCUGACACAGAAGAUCAUUUCAGCCCAGGAGUUUGAGGUGGCAGUGAGCUAUGAUCAGGCCACUGCACUCUAGUCUAGAUGACAGAGCAAGACUGUAUAUAAAUAACAAUAAUGAUAUCAGCCAGAUUUGUCGUGAGAAUGUGUCUAACAGGCCAGAGCAAAUCUGAAGUCUUUUUGUCCCUCUGCUUCAUAACGUUAAGUGGAUUUGCACCCACUGCCCAUGCCAACCUCAGCUGGCCAUGCCCUUGCCUGCUGAGGGUAGCAGCAGCCUGCCAGAAAGGAAGGUGUCUCUCUCCAGGGUCAGAUUCUUCAUCUGUCUUUCCAAGCUCGAGCCCCAAGUGACCCCAUUUCUGUAGCAAGCCAAGCACGGGAGGAAACAAGGAAUCCCUUUCUUUCCACCAUCCAGUCAUUUGGCAACAAGCUACAGUUCACUUGAGAGAGUGAUAUGGCUGCAGUGGCUGGUGGCCAGGCUUUGGAGGAGGCCUUGGAGACUCAGGCUGGGAAUAGAACUAUGAAAAAUGGGCUUCAGUGCUCCUCUGGAACAUUAACCUAUGGCCAUAAGUUAAGUAGUUGCAGCUGUGGUCUCAUUGGUAACUUGCAGCACCACCAAUUGCAUCAAUGCAUCUUUCUUGGACCAUCUUGCCCACCUGUCUGGUCUGACCACUACUGCAAGCUUGCAUCCUUUGGCAUAUUGUCAUUUUCUCUGAAGCCCCAUUCAGUGAUUCAUUCAUUCAUAUUCUUUCUGUCUCUCCCCACUUCCCUUCCCUUCCUCCCCCUUUCUCUUUCUCAUAGACACAUUUGUCCAGAGCAAGACAAGAUCACACUUUGACAGCCCUCUGUCAAGAUCCUUGCUCCAAAUCUCCAGACUAGCAGCCAGGAGUCUCCAUGCUGUUCUGAAGAAGCAGAUUCCUCACCCACCCUUCAACUCCUUCCCAGGAGGUAAUCCUCCUCCAAAUCUCUGGAAAAGAUACACCUCCUCUUCUCUGAUAAAGGCUGGGGGGUGAUGCCCCUCCCCCAGUUUCCCAAUAAAGCUAUGCAAGACAGGAGCAAGG
Molecule: long non-coding RNA, 7765 nt
Filed under: Homo sapiens (human)
Lineage: Eukaryota; Metazoa; Chordata; Mammalia; Primates; Hominidae
Description: HSALNT0363407
Source: RNAcentral